UACGGAUUCGACAGGGAUAGGUCGAGCUUGGGUUGCGUGUCGAGGUUACGACUCGUUAAACGUUACUCAGUUAAAUAUAACUGGCAAAGAAAACAAUUACUCUUUAGCAGCUGCGUAAGCACUGCUGAAGGAUCCUUCCUACCAUCGCCCAUGUGGUAGAUUGAAGGGUCUCAAACUUAGUGGGCUACGCUGUUCAGUCGCCGUCUUAGGCUGACAGAAGAGACCAAUAAGACUAGUCACUUGGAAGCCUGUCGAUAGGCCGAAGAGUUGACGAAAUACUAAUAUAUCGACUACACACGUAGACGCCUAAGUGCCGAUAUCUCUGGACGUGGGUUCGAUUA
Molecule: transfer-messenger RNA, 341 nt
Filed under: Salirhabdus euzebyi
Lineage: Bacteria; Bacillati; Bacillota; Bacilli; Caryophanales; Bacillaceae
Rfam family: transfer-messenger RNA
About the family: Bacterial tmRNA, also known as 10Sa RNA or SsrA, is named for its dual tRNA and mRNA-like properties. Its role is to liberate the mRNA from a stalled ribosome. To accomplish this part of the tmRNA is used as a reading frame that ends in a translation stop signal.
Source: Rfam by way of RNAcentral